GGCGGUGCGCCUAACACAUGCAAGUCGAACGGUGAACCGGGCUUCGGCCCGGGGAUCAGUGGCGAACGGGUGCGUAACACGUGGGCAACCUGCCCCCGACCCUGGGAUAACCCCGGGAAACCGGAGCUAAUACCGGAUACUCUCCUCCGAUCUCAUGACCGGAGGAGGAAAGGUCCGCCGGUCGGGGAUGGGCCCGCGGCCUAUCAGCUUGUUGGUGGGGUAACGGCCUACCAAGGCAUCGACGGGUAGCUGGUCUGAGAGGACGACCAGCCACACUGGGACUGAGACACGGCCCAGACUCCUACGGGAGGCAGCAGUGGGGAAUCUUGCGCAAUGGGCGAAAGCCUGACGCAGCGACACCGCGUGGGGGACGAAGGCCUUUCAGGUCGUAAACCCCUUUCGGCAGGGACGAAGCGAUCUCGUGACGGUACCUGCAGAAGAAGCCUCGGCUAACUACGUGCCAGCAGCCGCGGUAACGCGUAGGAGGCGAGCGUUGUCCGGAAUCAUUGGGCGUAAAGAGCGCGCAGGCGGCUUGGCAAGUCGGGUGUGAAAUCCCGGGGCUCAACCCCGUGACUGCAUUCGAUACUGUCAGGCUAGAGGUAGGUAGGGGAGAUCGGAAUUCCUGGUGUAGCGGUGAAAUGCGCAGAUAUCAGGAGGAACACCGGUGGCGAAGGCGGAUCUCUGGGCCUUACCUGACGCUCAGGCGCGAAAGCUA
Molecule: ribosomal RNA, 715 nt
Filed under: uncultured soil bacterium
Lineage: Bacteria
Description: bacterial SSU rRNA
Rfam family: Bacterial small subunit ribosomal RNA
Source: RNAcentral